This is a long non-coding RNA of Leopardus geoffroyi (Geoffroy's cat), 117 nucleotides long. RefSeq lists it as uncharacterized. The record is from RefSeq and is a predicted model, not a curated record. The transcript is spliced from 2 exons. Lineage: Eukaryota; Metazoa; Chordata; Mammalia; Carnivora; Felidae.
GAGGCUCCCAGAGAAGCCAUCAUAGUUCAUCUGUGCAGCCAAAAGCCUUAACAUUUCCUUCCGAAGUGUUGUCGGUAUCUUCAGAGAUUGACAAGAAUUGUCAAUAUAUCGAUUUUC